Molecule: ribosomal RNA, 402 nt
Filed under: bacterium
Lineage: Bacteria
Description: partial 16S ribosomal RNA
Rfam family: Bacterial small subunit ribosomal RNA
Source: RNAcentral
UGGGGAAUUUUGCACAAUGGGGGAAACCCUGAUGCAGCGACGCCGCGUGAUUUAGAAGGCCUUCGGGUUGUAAAAAUCUUUUCUAUGGGAAGAAAAUGACAGUACCAUAGGAAUAAGGACCGGCUAAUUACGUGCCAGCAGCCGCGGUAAUACGUAAGGUCCGAGCGUUGUCCGGAAUCAUUGGGCGUAAAGGGUACGUAGGCGGGUAAGCAAGUUAGAAGUGAAAUCCUAUAGCUCAACUAUAGUAAGCUUUUAAAACUGCUCAUCUUGAGGUAUGGAAGGGAAAGUGGAAUUCCUAGGGUAGCGGUGAAAUGCUCAGGUAUUAGGAGGAACACCUGUGGCGAAAGCGACUUUCUGGCCAUACCCUGACGCUAAGGUACGAAAGCGUGGGUAUCAAACAGG